RNAcentral lists this ribosomal RNA (253 nucleotides) under uncultured bacterium. RNAcentral describes it as "partial 16S ribosomal RNA". It matches the Rfam family "Bacterial small subunit ribosomal RNA", at positions 524 to 776 of the family's 1533-position model. The record is from RNAcentral.
UACGAAGGGGGCUAGCGUUGCUCGGAAUCACUGGGCGUAAAGCGCACGUAGGCGGACUCUUAAGUCGGUGGUGAAAUCCUGGAGCUCAACUCCAGAACUGCCUUCGAUACUGAGAGUCUUGAGUCCGGAAGAGGUGAGUGGAACUCCUAGUGUAGAGGUGGAAUUCGUAGAUAUUAGGAAGAACACCAGUGGCGAAGGCGGCUCACUGGUCCGGUACUGACGCUGAGGUGCGAAAGCGUGGGGAGCAAACAGG